Molecule: non-coding RNA, 1449 nt
Organism: Macaca mulatta (Rhesus monkey)
Lineage: Eukaryota; Metazoa; Chordata; Mammalia; Primates; Cercopithecidae
Source: RefSeq, a predicted model, not a curated record
CCUUACAUUGGAGGUCAAGGAGACAAGGUGGAGACUAGGAGAUAUGAAGGCCUGUGCAGUCAGUGUUGCAGAGAAACGAAGAAACUGUUUCCAGAAGAAAGGAGAGGUCAACUGCUAACAAGUCAAGUAAAAUGAGAACUGGGAAAUGAGUUGACAAGCACAAUUUGGCUGGCGUGAUCAGAGAAUGUUUAAGAGAUAAUGAAAAAUAAUAGUAUAUUCGUAUGCUGAGGAGAAGAAUCCAGUUGAAGGGGAAUACUGUGGCUUCAGGCAACAAGAGAGGAAAACUGCCUGAGCCACAUCCUUCAGCAAAAAGUCUUUGUCCAUGUUGAAGGGUCAGUUGUUAAAAUUAAUCAUAAAGAAAAUAAAGAAAAGAGACUGGAAGCUAUAUAUAAACUACACUCUGCAAUAUUUUUAAUCUAUAGAAUUUGUCAAAAAAACAGAUAUUGAGAAUUUAUAAUGGAGCAGAAUUUUCAAGCUGCCCGUCUACACUUUAAAAAAAAGAAAUGAGAUUCUAUUUCUAGCUGACCCAAAGUCAUGUCUGAGUCUUUAAGGAAAAAAAGAAAACCCUCAAGGAGAUGGUUUUAUUCUUCUUAAAUAUCGAGAAUGAAAAUCUAUACUGAACACUAAAACUGGAUGACUCUUUACCAUACUUCCAAAUAUGAAACACUUUAUUCAUUCUGCCUCCAAAUUCUACGCUCCAGAAUCCAACCAAUUCAGAGUGAGCUGUCCGAAGAUGAAUGGUUUUCUUAAGAUUUUCCAUGAACGCAUUCAUUUUUGAAGGUUUAAGGUUCCUAAAAAAACAGGAAGGCUAUUCAGGUCAAAGUAUUUCUUGAAUCCACUGACGAAGACUACUGGUCAAAAACAGGACUGGACUGUAACUAAUAUAAAAGGAAGCUAUGACUUAUCCAGUUGCAUUGUACUAUGGGCGUGUACAGCAUAAAGGCUGAAAAGGAAAAAAACUCAACAAAUCAGAAUUGUCUGCACCAUUGUUUCUAAUUACAGAUGCAAUAUCAAGAAGUAUGCACAUUUAGUGCACCCAAUUAUACCAAGUUUAUGGAACUAUCCUUUAAGACCACUCUUUGUAAUAGUCAUACACCAAAUAGGUAAAUUUUCUGUCCUAUUCUGGCCCUCUGAGCCUGAGUGAACUUAAUGUUCAGUAGCAAAUGCCCUGUCAGAAAUUAUCCAGAGUCUGUGUGUAUGUACAUGCAAAUAUUUAUGUAAACACACGUGGAUACACAGACCACUCCCGUGGCAUUCUAGUUUACAAAUCCAUUCAUUUAGAUAUGGUUAGCAUGUGACAACUUCCUGAGGCUCACUACCUAGAAUAAUGUAUCACAACAGUUUCAGUAGGCAUCUUUCACUGACAUAUUUUUGGUUACAACAUACAAAUGUCUAUGUAGUUUGUGUGCAUAACGUCUUAAUUAUAAUUGUCUAUCUUGAGUUCAUUCA